Columba livia (rock pigeon) is the source of this 6002-nucleotide long non-coding RNA. RefSeq lists it as uncharacterized. The transcript is spliced from 3 exons. The record is from RefSeq and is a predicted model, not a curated record. Lineage: Eukaryota; Metazoa; Chordata; Aves; Columbiformes; Columbidae.
AAAGAAGGAGGGAGUAUGAAGACGCCCCGAGCAGUGCGGCAUACCUGGAGGCGCUACGAGGGGAGCUGCUGGCGCUGUAGUCCACCCAGGGCGCCAGGAGCGAGAGGGCUCGCCAUCUCCUCAGCGGCGCCAAGCCCGGGCGCAGCGCGGAGGAAGAAAAGAAGACUGCGGCCGCCGCCAUGCCUGUCUCGACGGAAGCACCGCCUCAACCAACGAGGAAAGGGAGGAGCCAGGAUUUAUCACUAAAUGGCAGAUUUAUCACUAAAAACUGUGGAAAAAAAUUCCUCUGUGCAGAGAGGAAGAAGAAAACAGCAGAUCUGAAAUUCUAUAUAUGAAGCGUGCCAAAAUAAUGUCAACCUUAACUGCAAUACUGAGUCCACUGACAGUUGGCAAAUUCCUUUGUGAAGCUGGUGAAAGCUUGAAAAAGAUGCAACAGAUUACUGAGGCUGCUGUUUCUGCUAUGGCACUGGCAAUUUUUUUUUUCAUCAGAUCACUGUCUAGCAUGACACCAGCAUUCGGGAUGAACAUAGUAUUCAGGAUGAACAUAUUACUGUAUUUGAAGAAACCCUGCUUGAGAUCCCAUGAUCUGAUACUUUCAGCACCUGCUGCAGGGUCUGCCUUCUGCAACAACAAAUGCUGUAUGUAACCAGGACCCUAACAGCAGAAUACUGGGAAUUUGUGGAAUGUGAACAGAAGUGAGAGUCACAGUUAUUGCUGAAGCCAGAAGAGAGAGUAAAGAAAAAAAUGCGUUACUGAUGUAUUUAACAGAUGCAUUUUUUUGCACCUUGAACCAACAUCACAACUUCUGAUUUGUGUCUGUGUGUGUGCAAGUUACUAUGUGCCGUGACUCUAUCGAAGUGCGCAUCAUCAGCAUCAGUAAUCUGGACUGUACCUUCUUGUUGUUCUCAUAUAUAAAGUGUGUGAGUGUAUUAGGAUAAUUAGAAAAGUGAGUGCUUGCCCUCUCUGGUUGUGGCUGCCCCAUGGGAAGGUAGCCACCUGGAGGCAGGCAGCCCACACGUUAGUCUUGCCUUGCCCAACUGCUGCCAUCUUUGGAAAUGCACUACUUGGGAAGCCAAAGUUCAGUUUGAAUGUCAUGAAAAGCAUUAGUGAUGGCCUUAGCUACAUCUACUGCUAUGUAGUCAUUAUUGUCAGACAUAAAAUAAGAGCCUCCGGUCACAUCACUUGUUUUAAUAGCUUAUUUUCCCUUAGGAACUGCUCCUGGAUGAUGGUGUCAGGGAAACAGUGUCAAACGGGAGAACAAAUUCCCUUCAACAUAGCUGUCAGCUGCAAUAGAAAGCACAUAUUAAUUUUUUCUGUAGGAGAUGGAAGAGAACUAGGUUGAAGAUGGAAAUUCAUAUUUAUGCUUUUGAAGAUAAAUAUAGACAUCAAAAGACAGGCUCAGAUACACAGUUUUAAGGCACAAACUGAAGAAAUAAAUACCCAGCCAAUUCUCUUUUAAUGAGAGUUUUUAAUCUUAGUUAUUUUGGCAUCCCUUUCUACAGCUAUCAAGACAGUAAAUCAGUGCUCUCAGAGUGCUGAAGUUUAUGGAUAGAUGCAUUUUUUAUUAACUAACAUUUUCUGUCAUGGUCUGACCCUGAAAUGUCUUUUUAAGUGAGUACAGCAUUGGAAGCACUAAUGCAAGUUAGGUAGAUUGUGUCAUUCAGUAACAGUGCAUUGUAUUUCUACAGAGGUCCUAAAUAUUGAGCAUGUUUUUUUUCUCAGCUAUAGCCAUCUUUUUCUAUCACAACUAAAAUUAAUUAAGGUUUUCCUUUUCUUUUUACCCUGUCCUAGUAUUGCACUCUGAAGAACCUUACAGUAGAAACAACAGAAAGUACCUUUUUAUCUGAAAAAGGAAAAUUAUAGCAUUUGGUGUGGGAUUGAAUUUGAAGCAAAGGUUCUGGUAUUUUUUCAAAAAUGUAAAUAAAAUAGGAAUCAUUAACCACAGCAAUAUAAAUUUAUAAUGCCUUUCACAAAUAUUCUUGGAUUGUUUAAAUGCAUGUUUUUGUGGAGAAACAAGGAAGUUAUUUUUAUGUGAUUUUAAAUGGCACAACAGUUUGUGUUAUUACAAAAUCAUUGGUAGAUAGUAAAGACUACUGCUAUUAUUAAUAGUAACAGGUAUUUCUAAAUGGUAACAAGCUCCAAAUUCUGUAAUAUAUUUGACUUUUUUGUUGUUUUUCAUUUUUAGACAAACAAACCAAGUAGUCUAUUUGAAUUAUAAGGAAUGUAAAAUGUGCUGUAAAUUUAAGCAAAUUCUACUGAAACUAGAAUGUUUCCCAGACAAAUUUGUAAUAGGCAGCUAUGUUUGUUCUGCUAUGACUUUUUGUGGUUACUGUAACUGAUUAUAUAACUAUGCACAAAUGAAAAUCAGAUAUCUAGUUGGUGAGUUGGUACUUGACCUCUUUCCUAUGAGUACAACAGAAGGGAACACAACUUUUUGCCUUGGGAAGCUUCUUUUAAGCUUGACUGACAUAUCUUAAUGACAUUUAUAUUAUCUUUUAGGUUAUUCUGAAAUAAUCAUUAAGAAUUAUGAACAUUGUCAAGACUUCUAGCAUGUAGUUUAACUACACAUUACAAAUUAUAUCUGAUAAAAGGAUCUUGCCAUGGAUCUUACAGUAAAGCUUGUUGUGUUAAAAAAAAAGAAUCUGAUAACAUGCUUCAGCAAAACAUAAAACCGCCAUUCUAUGUUACUUUUACUUCAGUAUUAGCACUGCUAGUGAAGACAACAAAAGAUGUCGUUAUGAGUUUAAAAGAAAGUAAAUCUACAUUGAAGUUCCCAGAAAACCCAUAAUAGUUAACUAUUAUCUUCAUUCUUUUCACUUGCCAAGCUGUUCUUCAGCUGUCUUUGGUUUUGAGAGAUCUACUCACUAAAUGACUAAAAUUUUUGGUAAAACACUCAUUUGUAGACAAUCCCAGAAAGUAGCUUAUCUCUAGUUCAUUCACGUAACUAAAAAACCCUGGAAAUUUUAUGAGGUCAGGUCACAAUUUUCAGUGUGGUUUUCAUCUUAAAAAUUCAGAAAAGCCGUUGUUAUCGCUAACAUUAUCUAUAUGAGACUCCUAAGCUUGUAGCAUUUUCUUUAUUGAAAACACAUGUACUGUUCCAAGUCAUCCUGAUAAUGAUGUAGACUCCAAAAUAGCUGUCAUUUGUGCAUUACAGUUGCUAUUCCCAUAUAUCUUCACAAUAUCACCAUCCUCCUUUGCAGGGAAUUAGAAACAUGGCAGCAGUAACGUGCCACUGGUGCCAAGUUCCCAUCGCUUCAUAUCUGGUUUGUUUUUGUUUUGUUGUUUUUACGGCACUAAGUUUCUGUCCAAUACAGAGUUGAAAUUCUCUACCUUUGCGUUGCUGACUUUAUGUUCUAUGGUUUUUCCUUCAGGCAAGGACAGAUUGUUCCUAUCCAAGUUUUGCUUCUGGGGUCUGAAGACGUCUUUCAUUCUGAGCAAACCGUGGAAUGCUGGCAUUUAUGCCUGAGGUGAUCAGCUGAUUGAACUUUAGGAGCAGGGCUGUAAAGGGCUGAAAACCACCUGGGAAAAGCUACAAAGACUGUGGUGGGCUGGGGUUGAGGAAAGACAGGCAAAUUUGCAUUUGGUUGCUGAAUUAAUAUCUGAGGACUCUUCUUUUUAGAAGACACUUCUAUAUGGUGAUGGGUAUUGAUAAACUGGUAUCCAGGGUAUAAGGGAUUUGGGUAUGUCACAUUUAGAGAGCCUGUAUGCUGGCAGCUGUCUAGGUUAAGGAGGAGAAUUACAGAAAGAAAAAUGUUUAAAUGAAUCUCUGAAAGUGUUACUUUUGGGUCUUGUCUCUUGGAGAGGAGGGCAUAGGCGUAAACUCACAAAGAAAUAUCUUGAAAUGUUCUAGUUUAAGUGUAGAAAGAGAAAUGUUCUAUUUUAUAUGAUUGUGUAGCAGUAAAAAUCUGGUUGAAUAUCCUUAUGAUGAGGAGUACACUGUUCCUGUAAAGCAAAAGUUAGUCAAAAUGAAAGUGCAAGUAAAAAUUACAAAAAACUGGUAUGUUACAUGAAAAGAGUUUGACAAGGAAUAAAUAGGGCCUUUAUAAGCAAUCUUUAGAUCCAGAUAAAUGUACUGAAUAAAAUUUGUUUGCUUUUAUUGUAGUUUUAAAAAACUUUAUUAACAUAAUUCUGUUUUCCUUUCUCUACAAACUGGAUGCUUUGGAACUUUUAUUUGGAUUUAAUUAUAGAUGGAAUUUAAAUAUCCUGGACUUCAAUUUCUCCAUUUUUAAGCCAGGGGUGAUAAUAGAUCUUUACCUCCUGUAGAGCAGAGACUCAGUUCCUCACUGUAGAAGGCUCCUAAGUUGUGCUUUGAGAGUGUAGUUCUUAAAGUGCCUGCUGAGUUUUCUGCCAAAAAAAUAUGAAACUCUACUGAACAGCUAAAUAACCUGAGUAUUUUCACUUUAUAAGGAAAUAUGUAAGUGGCGUGAUGAAAGCUUUGUGGUCCGUAUACUUAUUUCUCCUACAUAAAUAGUUGGUCUACUAAAGGUAUUAUCAUUACCAGUAAGUCUAAUAAAUAUAUUGUUAUUACCAAGAAGUCCUGUCUUGCUGACCAAUGGACCUUUGCACCCUUGUGGCUUAGAAUGAAGAACUGGACAGAAGAGGCCCUUUCAAGCCCCAAGUGCUAGUAUUCAAAAUAUCAAAAUAGAUUUUAAAAGAAAUUGCAUUUCUUUUUUUUUUUUAUUUUGACUCUUUAUAUAUGAAUGAAGAAUUAAUAUGUGUAUUCACCAUUUUUAUUUAAUAAUAUUUUUAUUUAGUGUGCCACCAGCCUCACAGGUGAAUAUUUGUGAAUAUUCUUUUUUCCUUGCAGUGAAUCAGUACUUCCCACAUUAUUUCCUACAUCAGGCAUCAGAAAAGGACAUUUCCAUCUGACAUAGGAUCACAAGGGUAAUAAUUUAGAGUGCCAAAACUAAUGCUGUAAUGACUCAGGCUGUUGCAAAUGGGAGCAAGAAGAUUCCACACCCUUUAAGGAUUCUUUACUAUUUCAUUAUAUUCCAGAUCUCCUUUUUUUCUUCAUCCUUCUUUCUUUUCCUUUUAGUCUGGACUUGUCCAGCUGUUUUCCCCUUUGGAUCAUUUUUCCUCUUUCAUCUUCUUGUUCAGCUGUUGUAAGAAACUAUUUGUAACCUCUGUUAGCUGAACUAGAAAGUAACAUGUAGCUGGGAAUUAAAGGUCACACGUGGAAACUGUUGAAGGAGGUAAGAGGCUAUAAUUAACUUACUUGGGGUUUUGAUCUGAAGAUUUGUACAAGGGCUUUUCAUGCAGAAUUAUUGGUGCUUUCAUUCUCAUUAAUUAGGUCCAUUUCCAAAUUCUGAUCUGAUUCCCUCAUGGAUAAGUCACAACCUUUGCAGCAACCACACUAAACCUUUUGAAUGCACAAGUCUUCCAGUGACCACUUACUCCUGUUUUUCACAGAACGAUUGCUCCCAUAAUUCACUUAGAAAGAAUCAUGAAGCAGCUCAUCUUAUUAAAGCCUCAAGGUAUACAAAGAUGGCACAGAGUGCAACACCGAUAAGGAUGUGGCAUCCUAAAUGCAGCUUUAUAAAUUGUGGUUAAGUAAGAUGUGCAGUUCCAGCCACGUGGUUGAUAAAGGAGGAUCAAUACUAACAUGAUCAUCUGGACGGUCAAAGAAAUAGUACUAACAUAAUUAGAUCAUAGCAAAAUAUAAAGGGCCAUGGACAGAUUGUGCUGAAGUAUGUUUCUCAUAAUUGUAAAGAGUGAUAGCCCAGACUCAUGAGAAUGGUUGGAUGACCAAAUCUCAGGCUGGGUGACCCAAGUGCAUGGGAUGUGUGAAUGUCCUUGAGACUGUUCUGUGAAUGAGUGGGAGUGUAACUGAAACAAACAUAACAUGAGUGUGGUGUGUUUUUAAUAACAAUUAUUGGAAAAACAUCUUAUGUAGUCCAGGCCCAUAUCUAUAAAUCCUGUAAAUUGUCAAUGGCUAAUAAAAAGGGUCUCAGCCUGGCUUAGCUCUCUGCUCUGCCUGGCUCUGCGCUCCUUCCUGAACAAGA